This 2281-nucleotide long non-coding RNA is filed under the name Marmota monax (woodchuck). Lineage: Eukaryota; Metazoa; Chordata; Mammalia; Rodentia; Sciuridae. The record is from RNAcentral.
GCUGAGGGUGUGUGUGUCCUCACUUCUCCCAGCCUGCUGUGAGCUGGCCCUAGGCACAGGGCCUUUUCCAGACCAGAGACCAACACAGCCAGGCCCGAAGGCCGGACCCUUGACAAUGGACCUGUGUGAGGUGGCAUGAGGAGCCCUCUGCUGUGUCCACACACCCUAGCCUCUGACAGACAGGGCAGGAGAGACUGUAAGGACCCUGAGAUGGGGGAUCUUCCUGGAUAUCCAAGGCCCAGUGUCGUUCCCCGUCACCCACAGCUUGGGGCCCUGGCCCCUCUGCCAUCCCCAGGACUACUGUCUGUUCUAGUGGGUGUGGAGAGCAAAGUCCAGAAUAUCCAUGUCUCCCUUUCUCUGCUGGCCCUGCCAAGUCCACCCCUGGGCCUCACCCUCCAGCCCCGAGCCUGGCCUCCUUUAGUCCCUCAUACUGGUCAGGGUUCUGCCCUCCCAGCUUUGGCUGAUCUGUCCUCUCUGGCACAACCUUUGCCAAGCAAGAGUCCUGCUCUCCAUGUUGGGGGACUCUCUGCCCCAAAGACAGGAGCCUUCAAUUAAGACAGAGUUGGACCCACAUUGGGGCUGUGUGACUUUUAGUGUUGACACAGCCUCUCUGAGCCCAGUGUCCUCAUCUGGGGGACGGAAGAGGAUCACAAUGGGUGGAGUGGGCCAGGGGAAGCAAGUACCUGGAGUGGAGAGAAAACUGUCCUCAGAUGGCCCUGACCAAAUGGCCUGGAAGGGGAGCAGGGAGGGGACAGGAAAGGGAGGGUGAGGGUAGAAAGGCCUCUGCAUUGGCUGCUCCUGGCUGAUCUUCGUGCAUAUCCACAUGGGUCCUUCCCUCAGUCACUCUGGGCCAUCAGUGGGAGGCCCCUUGUCCUGCUCCCCUCCCUAUAGUCUGCUCCCCCUCCACAGUGCCCCUCACUCCCUGUCCGUCACGGGUGCCCCUUCCAGUGGUCCAGGGCAGGUAAGCAGAGAAGAGAGGGUGACAGGGUGAUGGGUGACGGGGUGAUGGGGGAGCUGCUGGGUCCGGGGACAGGCUGGGACUGCGGGAGGUGUCAUCUGUGUGUCUACGUGUUCCUCUCUGUGUUCCUCCGUGUGACCGUCUGAGUGUGUCUGGGUGCGUGUCUGUCUCUGGGGAUCUGUGUGUGUGUGUGUGUGUGUGUCUUUGUGCAUUUUUGGGUGUGAGUUGUGCUUCUGGGCUGGUGCGUCCUGACUCUGUCUGUGUGUCUGGUCACACGUGCGCAUCGCGGUUUCUUAUGUGUGUGUGCCUGACCCUCUCUGUGUGUCUCUGUGUGCCUGGGUGUGGUGUGUCUCCAUGUGUCUGGGGACCUCUGAGCAGGGACACGCUCGGCCUGGCCCUCCUCCUGACUCCUGGAGGCCUGGUGUGGCCCCUGCCCUCCUUUCCUGCUUCUCACCUCUUCCCAAGCACCCUCUGGGCUCUGCCUCUCCUUCCUUACCUUCCCAGAGUAGAGGCUUGGCACAGAGCCUCCCUCCACCUCCUCCUGGUCUUUGCUCAAGUCCCUCAGGGCAGCUGGCACCCAGCACGUGCAGGGAAGGAGAACCAGUUCACAACGGUGAUGCCUCCUGCCAGCCCGGGCCCCGUGCCCGACUGUGGUUCCCAAAGGCUGGAUGAGGUAAGGGCCCCAGAAACCCAGAUGCGGAAGGGAUGGGGGGGGAAUCAUGACCUGGAGCAGCAGGUGACUUAAAAUUCCCAUUUUACAGAUAAGCUCAGAAUGGUUCAGUAAGCUGCCCAAGACUACACAGCCAAAGGUUGGGGGAAAUAGAUUUCUUUGGCUCCAGCUCCACCCACGGGCCUCCCUAUUCUGCAAAUAAGAAAACUAGGAGGACUCGGGUGUGUCCUGGGAUAUGGGAUUUCUAGGGCUAGUGCCAGGACAGUCCUGAGCAAACUGGGAUGAUUGGCCACCCUACCAAGAGGUGAAGAGAUUUGCUCAAGGACACACAGUAAGGACAAGAGUUCCUAGGCCAACACCUGCUUGUCCAAGAUGUCACCCCCUUUUCCUAACCAGACUGGGAGAGGGCGGGACCUAAAGGGAGCUAUGGAGGCAUUGCUCUGAAGGGGAGUGGGACCCGGCUGGGCUGGGCAGUGCGUGACUGCGGUCCCAGCCGCUCAGGCACCGAGGCCGGAGGACCGCGUGAGCGUAGGAGUCAAGCCAACGGCAGAGAGAGAGCUGCGUCGAAAAUAAAAUAUAUAAACAGGAGAUGGCAGUCUCCAGUCUGCAUUCGAAUGUUCCUCUUCUGGACGAGUCAACACAUUAGAUUCAAA